UUUUUUUUUUUUUUUUUCCUGAAAAGCAGUUUUUCCCUUCAACCAUAAUGACAAACAGGACAAUGUUUGGUGGUCUUUCACCAAAUGUGAUGCCUGUUCUUGCUGUAAAGUAAUCUGCUUUGAUUUUACUGGGUGCGAUGCAGGUUUAAAUCACAAUAGAAGCUGCUUCCCCACCCCCUUAUAAACAAUGAUGAGGCGGCAGGGACAGUAUGCUGAUCCUGGUGCCAAA
RNAcentral lists this unclassified non-coding RNA (229 nucleotides) under Hevea brasiliensis (rubber tree). The record is from RNAcentral. Lineage: Eukaryota; Viridiplantae; Streptophyta; Magnoliopsida; Malpighiales; Euphorbiaceae.